UGGGGAAUAUUGGACAAUGGGCGCAAGCCUGAUCCAGCCAUGCCGCGUGGAUGAUGAAGGCCCUAGGGUUGUAAAGUCCUUUCGGCGGGGAAGAUAAUGACGGUACCCGCAGAAGAAGCCCCGGCUAACUUCGUGCCAGCAGCCGCGGUAAUACGAAGGGGGCUAGCGUUGCUCGGAAUCACUGGGCGUAAAGCGCACGUAGGCGGGUUCUUAAGUCGGUGGUGAAAUCCUGGAGCUCAACUCCAGAACUGCCUCCGAUACUGGGAGUCUCCGAGUCCGGGAGAGGUGAGUGGAACUGCGAGUGUAGAGGUGAAAUUCGUAGAUAUUCGCAAGAACACCAGUGGCGAAGGCGGCUCACUGGCCCGGUACUGACGCUGAGGUGCGAAAGCGUGGGGAGCAA
This 400-nucleotide ribosomal RNA is filed under the name uncultured bacterium. Its description in RNAcentral is "bacterial SSU rRNA". It matches the Rfam family "Bacterial small subunit ribosomal RNA", at positions 355 to 771 of the family's 1533-position model. The record is from RNAcentral.